Molecule: long non-coding RNA, 1188 nt
Filed under: Felis catus (domestic cat)
Lineage: Eukaryota; Metazoa; Chordata; Mammalia; Carnivora; Felidae
Description: lncRNA (ENSFCAG00000048753.1)
Source: RNAcentral
AUGGUCAUCGUAGGUAUGUGGUUAUUGCAAGUUCCCAGCAGGUGGCGGGAAAAUGUCUGGAGGAAGGGGCACCUCUUCCUAAUUUGCUCAGUUGCCGUAUCGGCUAGUGCUGGCCCCGCGUUCCAGCUACGUUGGCCUAUGAGCGUCGGUUGCCAGGGGCACGGCCCGAGGACGUCCCCGUGUGACGCGGGGCGCCCUUCUCUCAUCCAGCAGAAUCCCGUCCUUGAAGGCGAGCGAGGGGUGGCCAGGCUGGGGUGGGGGGGAAGACAGGACGCUGGAAGGCCGUACGUUCCCCUCUGUGCCCGGGGCCGCGACAGUCCUCCUGGGACUGUCCACUCGUGUUCCAGCCGGAAGGAAGGUCCCCGCUCCUCCGCAGAACUCGCGCGUGGCCCCGAACCCUGCACGGGACACGAGCGGCAUCUCCGUGUGGCCCUCCCGCUGUGUCUUCACUACCCUCUGUUCUUCCAGAAGCUGUCCGGGUGCUUCCUCAGUGGCUCCCUCUUCCCGUGGAAGCCCGCCAGCGGGUCCGGCGCUGGGGACAGUGAGGUCAAGGCUUUGUCCCCUCAGCUGCCUUCUGGGGGGGCUCUCGUGCACCUGCUGUCGGGGCAGUGCUGCGCUCAGGUCACUGGGUGUCCCUGUGAUCGAGGCAUCGCCCGUCAAAGACGUGGAGGCUCAGACGUUGCAUGUGUGUCUCUGGGUUCUGGAGGUCGGGAGUCUGAAAUGGACCUCGAGGGACUAAAAUUGGGGUGUGGGCGCGUGGUGUUCCUCCUGGAGGCUUGGGGACGGGACCCUGUUCCUUCUGCCUCCAGCUGCUCCGGGCCUGCGGGCCGUGGCUCCUUGCCCCUUGUCACCGCAGUCCCUGUAGUCACAUUUCCUCCUCCGAGUCCCCUGCGUUCCCCUUACCAGGACCCCAUGACCAGCCGGGCCCCCGUGCCCCCAGGAUCACUCUUGCAGAGCCCCCGUUGGGGUGGAAGGCCACGCGUGCACAGGCUGGGGGAUGAGGCCGUGGGCACCGGAGAGGGGCCGCUCCCCUGCCGCCCGCACUCCACCUCGGGGCUCGGGGGGGCCUGGCUGUUACUGUCUCCCAUGGCUUCGCCGCAUCCUGCCCGCGCCCCCCGUAAACCUUCCUCGUGUCGGCAGUGCUCGGGGGUCCCUGCUGAGCCUCAGUGCAUGUUCUCUGCAGGUUGA